This 302-nucleotide ribosomal RNA is filed under the name Hydnum orientalbidum. Its description in RNAcentral is "partial 28S ribosomal RNA". It matches the Rfam family "Eukaryotic large subunit ribosomal RNA", at positions 1 to 291 of the family's 3401-position model. The record is from RNAcentral. Lineage: Eukaryota; Fungi; Basidiomycota; Agaricomycetes; Cantharellales; Hydnaceae.
UUCUGACCUCGAAUCAGGUGGGACUACCCGCUGAACUUAAGCAUAUCAAUAAGCGGAGGAAAAGAAACUAACAAGGAUUCCCCUAGUAACGGCGAGUGAAGUGGGAUGAGCUCAAAUUUAAAAUCUGGUAGUCUUUGGCUGCCCGAGUUGUAAUCUAGAGAAGUGUUUUCUGUGCUGGACUGUGUUCAAGUUUCCUGGAUAUGGAACAUCAUAGAGGGUGAGAAUCCCGUCCUUGACACAGAUUCCCUAGUGCUCUGUGAUGCACUCUCAACGAGUCGAGUUGUUUGGGAUUGCAGCUCAAA